CCUACGGUGGGCAGCAGUGAGGAAUAUUGGUCAAUGGACGCAAGCCUGAACCAGCCAUGUAGCGUGCAGGAUGACGGCCCUACGAGUUGUAAACUGCUUUUGUACGAGAGUAAACGCAGAUACGUGUAUCUGUUUGUAUGUACCUUAUGAAUAAGGAUCGGCUAACUCCGUGCCAGCAGCCGCGGUAAUACGGAGGAUCCAAGCGUUAUCCGGAUUUAUUGGGUUUAAAGGGAGCGUAGGCGGUCUGUUAAGUUAGUGGUGAAAUCCCGGGGCUCAACCUCGGAAUUGCAACUGAUACUGGUCGGCUUGAGUGUAGUUGAGGUAGGCGGAAUGUGUGGUGUAGCGGUGAAAUGCUUAGAGAUCACGAAGAACCCCGAUUGCGAAGGCAGCUUACUAAGCUGCUACUGACGUUGAGGCUCGAAAGCGUGGGUAGCAAACAGGAUUAGAUACCCGUGUAGUC
RNAcentral lists this ribosomal RNA (460 nucleotides) under uncultured bacterium. RNAcentral's name for it is "partial 16S ribosomal RNA". It matches the Rfam family "Bacterial small subunit ribosomal RNA", at positions 338 to 795 of the family's 1533-position model. The record is from RNAcentral.